GACGAACGCUGGCGGCGUGCUUAACACAUGCAAGUCGAACGGAAAGGCCCUGCUUUUGUGGGGUGCUCGAGUGGCGAACGGGUGAGUAACACGGGAGUAACCUGCCCUUUACUUUGGGAUAACUUCAGGAAACUGGGGCUAAUACCGGAUAGGAGCUCCUGCUGCAUGGUGGGGGUUGGAAAGUUUCGGCGGUUGGGGAUGGACUCGCGGCUUAUCAGCUUGUUGGUGGGGUAGUGGCUUACCAAGUCUUUGACGGGUAGCCGGCCUGAGAGGGUGACCGGCCACAUUGGGACUGAGAUACGGCCCAGACUCCUACGGGAGGCAGCAGUGGGGAAUAUUGCACAAUGGGCCGAAGCCUGAUGAAGCAACGCCGCGUGCGGGAUGACGGCCUUCGGGUUGUAAACCGCUUUCGCCUGUGACGAAGCGUGAGUGACGGUAAUGGGUAAAGAAGCACCGGCUAACUACGUG
Molecule: ribosomal RNA, 468 nt
Filed under: uncultured bacterium
Lineage: Bacteria
Description: partial 16S ribosomal RNA
Rfam family: Bacterial small subunit ribosomal RNA
Source: RNAcentral